UACAGAGACUGCAAGCGUUAUUCGGAUUCACUGGGCGUAAAGGGUGCGCAGGCGGUUUUACAAGCCAGAUGUGAAAUCCCCGGGCUUAACCUGGGAACUGCAUUUGGGACUGUAAGGCUAGAGUGUGUCAGAGGGAGGUGGAAUUCCACGUGUAGCAGUGAAAUGCGUAGAUAUGUGGAGGAACAUCGAUGGCGAAGGCAGCCUCCUGGGAUAACACUGACGCUCAUGCACGAAAGCGUGGGGAGCAAACAGG
RNAcentral lists this ribosomal RNA (253 nucleotides) under uncultured bacterium. RNAcentral's name for it is "partial 16S ribosomal RNA". It matches the Rfam family "Bacterial small subunit ribosomal RNA", at positions 524 to 776 of the family's 1533-position model. The record is from RNAcentral.